CAGCAGCAGCCGCGGUAAUACAGAGGGUGCGAGCGUUAAUCGGAUUUACUGGGCGUAAAGCGUGCGUAGGCGGCUUUUUAAGUCGGAUGUGAAAUCCCUGAGCUUAACUUAGGAAUUGCAUUCGAUACUGGGAAGCUAGAGUAUGGGAGAGGAUGGUAGAAUUCCAGGUGUAGCGGUGAAAUGCGUAGAGAUCUGGAGGAAUACCGAUGGCGAAGGCAGCCAUCUGGCCUAAUACUGACGCUGAGGUACGAAAGCAUGGGGAGCAAACAGGAUUAGAUACCCCGGUAGUCCAUGUCUCUUAUAC
RNAcentral lists this ribosomal RNA (304 nucleotides) under uncultured bacterium. RNAcentral's name for it is "partial 16S ribosomal RNA". It matches the Rfam family "Bacterial small subunit ribosomal RNA", at positions 506 to 807 of the family's 1533-position model. The record is from RNAcentral.